UACGAAGGGGGCUAGCGUUGCUCGGAAUUACUGGGCGUAAAGCGCACGUAGGCGGCUCUUUAAGUCGGGGGUGAAAUCCUGGAGUUCAACUCCAGAACUGCCUUCGAUACUGUAGAGCUUGAGUUCGGGAGAGGUGAGUGGAACUGCGAGUGUAGAGGUGAAAUUCGUAGAUAUUCGCAAGAACACCAGUGGCGAAGGCGGCUCACUGGCCCGAUACUGACGCUGAGGAGCGAAAGCGUGGGAGCGAACAGG
RNAcentral lists this ribosomal RNA (252 nucleotides) under uncultured bacterium. RNAcentral's name for it is "partial 16S ribosomal RNA". It matches the Rfam family "Bacterial small subunit ribosomal RNA", at positions 524 to 776 of the family's 1533-position model. The record is from RNAcentral.